AUUGAACGCUGGCGGCAUGCCUUACACAUGCAAGUCGAACGGCAGCACGGGUGCUUGCACCUGGUGGCGAGUGGCGAACGGGUGAGUAAUACAUCGGAACAUGUCCUGUAGUGGGGAAUAGCCCGGCGAAAGCCGGAUUAAUACCGCAUACGAUCUACGGAUGAAAGCGGGGGACCUUCGGGCCUCGCGCUAUCGGGUUGGCCGAUGGCUGAUUAGCUAGUUGGUGGGGUAAAGGCCUACCAAGGCGACGAUCAGUAGCUGGUCUGAGAGGACGACCAGCCACACUGGGACUGAGACACGGCCCAGACUCCUACGGGAGGCAGCAGUGGGGAAUUUUGGACAAAGGGCGAAAGCCUGAUCCAGCAAUGCCGCGUGUGUGAAGAAGGCCUUCGGGUUGUAAAGCACUUUUGUCCGGAAAGAAAUCCUUGGCCCUAAUACGGUCGGGGGAUGACGGUACCGGAAGAAUAAGUACCGGCUAACUACGUG
RNAcentral lists this ribosomal RNA (486 nucleotides) under uncultured bacterium. RNAcentral describes it as "partial 16S ribosomal RNA". It matches the Rfam family "Bacterial small subunit ribosomal RNA", at positions 30 to 507 of the family's 1533-position model. The record is from RNAcentral.